GGCACUAUGGCCGAGUGGUUAAGGCGCUUCCCUGCUAUCGCCGGUGCUCCGGCACUUGCAAGCCAGGAAGUCCGUUCGCGGGCGCGUGUUCGAAUCACGUUGGUGUCG
Molecule: transfer RNA, 108 nt
Filed under: Ceratocystis platani
Lineage: Eukaryota; Fungi; Ascomycota; Sordariomycetes; Microascales; Ceratocystidaceae
Also listed under: 1 other name
Rfam family: tRNA
About the family: Transfer RNA (tRNA) molecules are approximately 80 nucleotides in length.
Source: Rfam by way of RNAcentral